RNAcentral lists this ribosomal RNA (229 nucleotides) under uncultured bacterium. RNAcentral describes it as "partial 16S ribosomal RNA". It matches the Rfam family "Bacterial small subunit ribosomal RNA", at positions 568 to 796 of the family's 1533-position model. The record is from RNAcentral.
CGUCUAGGCGGAUUGAAAAGUCAGGUGUGAAAUCCCACGGCUCAACCGUGGAACUGCACUUGAAACUGGUAAUCUUGAGUACGGAAGAGGAAAGCGGAAUUCCUGGUGUAGCGGUGAAAUGCGUAGAUAUCAGGAAGAACAUCGGUGGCGAAGGCGGCUUUCUGGUCCGAUACUGACGCUAAAGCGCGAAAGUGUGGGGAGCAAACAGGAUUAGAUACCCUGGUAGUCC